AACGAACGCUGGCGGCAUGCCUAACACAUGCAAGUCGAACGAGACCUUCGGGUAUAGUGGCGCACGGGUGCGUAACGCGUGGGAACCUGCCCUUAGGUUCGGAACAACUCCCCGAAAGGGGUGCUAAUACCGGAUAAUGUCUUCGGACCAAAGAUUUAUCGCCUUUGGAUGGGCCCGCGUUGGAUUAGCUAGUUGGUAGGGUAAAAGCCUACCAAGGCGACGAUCCAUAGCUGGUCUGAGAGGAUGAUCAGCCACACUGGGACUGAGACACGGCCCAGACUCCUACGGGAGGCAGCAGUGGGGAAUAUUGGACAAUGGGCGAAAGCCUGAUCCAGCAAUGCCGCGUGAGUGAUGAAGGCCUUAGGGUUGUAAAGCUCUUUUACCCGGGAUGAUAAUGACAGUACCGGGAGAAUAAGCUCCGGCUAACUCCGUG
This 433-nucleotide ribosomal RNA is filed under the name uncultured bacterium. Its description in RNAcentral is "partial 16S ribosomal RNA". It matches the Rfam family "Bacterial small subunit ribosomal RNA", at positions 29 to 507 of the family's 1533-position model. The record is from RNAcentral.